Molecule: long non-coding RNA, 1653 nt
Organism: Ruditapes philippinarum (Manila clam)
Lineage: Eukaryota; Metazoa; Mollusca; Bivalvia; Venerida; Veneridae
Exons: 3
Source: RefSeq, a predicted model, not a curated record
UCAAAGUUUUGUACGAUCCGUAGACAGAUUUUUAUCUUAUUUGUUAAAAAAGAAAAAGUGCGAUUUGGGCCUCCAGAAUAUUUAAAUGGUACGUUAUGGUACGUAAUCUCCAAAAAUGGUUCGUAAAAUCCAGGUACGUUUCCUCCAUGACCACGAAACCAUUAGUAUUUGUUGACAUAAAAAUAAUAAACUCGCCAAAAACUACGUUUUCGUUCUUCCCUAACUCUAAUUAUGUUAAUGAUAAGAAACAAUGCUUACCUUCGGCCUUCCUCAUCAUAAAAACUCCUUUUGAAGUUUAUUAUAUAUCCGACACAAAAGCUUUUUUUCUACCAUCUACCGAGAAUGCCCUGUCCUGCUAAUAAUGUGGCAAUGGCACUUAAUGACGCAAAAAAGUGGACGACUUCAUUUUUCGCGCACUUGAAGGGGUGUUCGGUCUAAUUACAAUAUGUUUACAAACGUUUAAAUGAUAUUUCUUAUAAAUCAACAUUUCAAUUAUUCAUAACCGAUAGAUAAGAUAAUUUAAUUCUUCUAUAAAAGAAUAGUACUGUCACGAAAAUUGUGUCUUGCAUACCGAGUACCUGACUCCCCCGUGUAAGCGUAUCGGCUUGACCGUCGCCGCCGAAACUCUUUGAACUGCCUGUGUAGUUUAAUUACACGCAAAGCUGCGGUUAAACUGGUAAAAUAGACGCGAUGGUUAGAAUCGCUGUCAUUUAUACAUGCGGGUUGUUUCUUCAAGACUUGGGUCUAAUCCAGUAAACUACUUGUAAGCAAGAUAAACAGGUACAGAAUGUGAACGAGAAGACUGGUGAUGAUUACAAGACAACAAAAGAAAAUAUGUUGUUGUUGUUAAGAAGAUUUUUUCCUGUUCCUCGCAGAAGGGCAGAAACAUACUUGGAUGGAAAAUGUGCAUAAACUUUGCAUAAGUUUUGUUGAAACUUCAAUUGAUAAUGAAGAAUGCUGCAAAAUAUUGUUUGUUACAAUAUUUGAAUGACUGUAAGAGAUGUUGAGUGAUUGGUAUUCACACAGGUGCUGUGUUAGUGCAAAACAAUGCAAGCAUAUGUUGAAUGAACACACAAGAUUGUGCCAUACCAUAAGGGAGCAGUAUGUUCCGGAUAUUCUAUUUGUAUAAACCCAACACAACUACAAUGUAAUGUGGAUAUAUACUAGAAUCAGAUUGUCUGUCUGUCUGUUUGUCUACCCAUUGGAGAUACUGAAUUAACUUGUUAGAUAGAUCAUGUAUGUUAUUGUUGUGGAAAGUAGUUCCGAGCAACUAUAUCUCUAUUGCCUGUUGCAAUUUGAAAAGAAGAUUUUGUUUAAUAGAUGAAACUGGCUAGGUGUUACUAUUUCAGCAUUAGUAUGAUGUUAGAUCAUAUAUUACAUGUACAUCAAUUUUUAUAUGCCCAUUUGAAAAACAAGACAUACAAUGGGAACCUGGUUGGCAGGCAGUGUCAUAUUUUGUAAGCAUUGUAUUUUGGACGUCACAAACCAAAAUCAAGGAGUAAAUGACUCCCAAACUUCCACUAAAAGAAGCCCUGCCCAUGCAGGGAUUUUAAUGAAACUUCAUAGAAAUUCUCACCAGAUGAAAGGUCAAGGUCACACUUAGAAAACAUUGAUAAAUGCUUAUUAGGAGCAAAAACGUGCGUCAAUAUCACU